ACCUCAAGUCAUGUGAGAGUACCUGCUGAACUUAAGCAUAUCAAUAAGCGGAGGAAAAGAAACUAACAAGGAUUCCCCUAGUAACGACGAGUGAAGCGGGAAGAGCACAAAUUUAAAAUCUACCUGGUUUCCAGGUCGAGUUGUAAUUUGAAGAUACGUUUUUAAUGUUCCUGGUUGGACUAAAUCCUUUGGGAUAAGGUAUCGUAGAGGGUGAGAAUCCCGUAUACACCAACCGUAGGGACGUUAUUUAAUACGUUUCUAAGAGUCGAGUUGUUUGGGAAUGCAGCUCUAAAUGGGUGGUAGAUUUCACCUAAUGCUAAAUAUAAGCGAGAGACCGAUAGCGAACAAGUACAGUGAUGGAAAGAUGAAAAGAACUUUGAAAAGAGAGUUAAAUAGUACGUGAAAUUGUUGAAAGGGAAACGAUUGAAGUCAGUCAUGCCGGUGGGAAUCAACUUAGGGGAAACUCUGGGUGCACUUCUUCGCUUGGCAGGUCAACGUCGAUUUUGGAUGUCAUAAAAUGAUUGGGGGAAGGUAGCUCCUUCGGGAGUGUUAUAGCCCUUGGUAGAUGUGAUGUCCGGGAUCGAGGAUUGCAACGGAUACCCUUCGGGGCUAGCCUCCUGAUCUCUAAUCGGUGUUGGGUUACGGAUAGCAUGCUGACCGUGAUUUAAUUACUGGUUAAAAGGUUAGAGCGUGCAUAAAUUCGUUAAGGACGUUGACGUAAUGGCUUUAAACGACCCGUCUUGAAACACGGACCAAGGAGUCUAACAUGUCUGCGAGUGUU
RNAcentral lists this ribosomal RNA (781 nucleotides) under uncultured fungus. Its description in RNAcentral is "eukaryotic LSU rRNA". It matches the Rfam family "Eukaryotic large subunit ribosomal RNA", at positions 1 to 694 of the family's 3401-position model. The record is from RNAcentral. Lineage: Eukaryota; Fungi.